Molecule: long non-coding RNA, 357 nt
Filed under: Vigna radiata
Lineage: Eukaryota; Viridiplantae; Streptophyta; Magnoliopsida; Fabales; Fabaceae
Description: long non-coding RNA (VRAD_LNC004648)
Source: RNAcentral
UAAAUCAUUAACGAUAGACAGUUCAAGUAUGUAAUGAGUGAAUGACAUGUCAUUUAAUGGGUGGCGUGAACACAAGGUAUAGUGAUGUGGAUUUUUGUUUUGUGAAAGUGAUUUUCGGAUAUUAGGUUUUAUAUUGAAUUGAUGGCAACCCCUGCCUCGGGUCCGAACAGGAUCAUCGCAGGUCUCCCUGGCUGGCCAAGAGUUUCGUCGGAGACGUUACCGAGACUAGAAGUGUCGUCUCCCUUCGAUGACUGCCACUCCUCGUUGUCGGCAUUCACUCCUCGUCUCCCUCUAUUUCCCAGCUUUUUUAUUUCAUCACAGGCCAUAAAAAGGCGUUGAUGUAUCUCUGUGAGCUUC